ACCUGACGCAGCGACGCCGCGUGCGGGAAGAAGGCCUUCGGGUUGUAAACCGCUUUCAGGAGGACGAAGCCACUCGGGUGAACAGCCCAGAGGGUGACGGUACCUCCAGAAGAAGCCCCGGCUAACUACGUGCCAGCAGCCGCGGUAAUACGUAGGGGGCAAGCGUUGUCCGGAUUUAUUGGGCGUAAAGAGCGUGUAGACGGCCAGGUAGGUCGGUUGUGAAAACUGGAGGCUCAACCUCUAGACGUCGACCGAAACCAUCUGGCUAGAGUCCGGAAGAGGAGAGUGGAAUUCCUGGUGUAGCGGUGGAAUGCGCAGAUAUCAGGAAGAACACCCGUGGCGAAGGCGGCUCUCUGGGACGGUACUGACGCUGAGACGCGAAAGCGUGGGGAGCGAACAGGAUUAGAUACCCUGGUAGUCCACGCCGUAAACGAUGGGUGCUAGGUGUGGGAGGUGUCGACUCCUCCCGUGCCGCAGCUAACGCAUUAAGCACCCCGCCUGGGGAGUACGGCCGCAAGGCUA
RNAcentral lists this ribosomal RNA (522 nucleotides) under uncultured Actinomycetes bacterium. RNAcentral's name for it is "bacterial SSU rRNA". It matches the Rfam family "Bacterial small subunit ribosomal RNA", at positions 381 to 896 of the family's 1533-position model. The record is from RNAcentral. Lineage: Bacteria; Bacillati; Actinomycetota; Actinomycetes.